Molecule: long non-coding RNA, 674 nt
Organism: Aethalodelphis obliquidens (Pacific white-sided dolphin)
Lineage: Eukaryota; Metazoa; Chordata; Mammalia; Artiodactyla; Delphinidae
Exons: 3
Source: RefSeq, a predicted model, not a curated record
AGGAGACUUGGUCUGACUGCAGGCGGCAGGAAAAGUUCAUUUCCUGAGGGAAGGCGUGAGUAACCCAGUGGAUUCUCAGCAAGACAGGCCCAGUUCCCCACUGGAGGCUGCCAAUCGCUGAGUCAGCAGAGAAUGGAAGCUCGAAGCAGAGGGCAGCCAGCCCCAGAAAAACAAAGGGGCAUGAAAGAUCCAGAGGAAGCCUUUCCCUGCCCUCCAGCUGUUACUUCCUCUCCGGUGGCCCCUCUGCCCAACUGAAGGGACAGACCUGGACUACAGCCCGACUUCCCUGCCUCUCAUCUUUUUAGCCCCGUGAUUCACAACCGGGGGGCAGUUUGGUGACGUCUGGAGACGUCUGGAGACAUUAUUGGCCGUCACAACUGCGGGGGAAGGUGCCGCUGGCGUCUGGUGGGUAGAGGCCGAGGAUGCUGUCAGACACUCUACAAUGCACACGGUCACCCCUCAAAAAAAGUGAUCUGGCCCUACGUGUCAACAGGGCCGCGGCUGAGAAGCCCUGUGUAUAGCCGGAUCCUGCCUCUUUUUAGCAGAAGUGGAGACAAGGCUGCGCAGGAUCCCAGAGAACCCGCCCCCCCUAGCUGCAGAGCCACAGGCAGAAGCCGCUCUGGCUCUGGAAAGAAACCCAGGUAGUCACGGCCACCUGGGGGCUGCUGGAGGGG